CAGUAGCCGCGGGAAUGCGAAGGGGGCUAGCGUUGCUCGGAAUUACUGGGCGUAAAGGGAGCGUAGGCGGAUCGUUUAGUCAGGGGUGAAAUCCCGGGGCUCAACCUCGGAACUGCCUUUGAUACUGGCGAUCUUGAGUAUGGGAGAGGUGUGUGGAACUCCGAGUGUAGAGGUGAAAUUCGUAGAUAUUCGGAAGAACACCAGUGGCGAAGGCGACACACUGGCCCAUUACUGACGCUGAGGCUCGAAAGCGUGGGGAGCAAACAGGAUUAGAUACCCCGGUAGUCCCUGUCUCUUAUAC
RNAcentral lists this ribosomal RNA (301 nucleotides) under uncultured bacterium. RNAcentral's name for it is "partial 16S ribosomal RNA". It matches the Rfam family "Bacterial small subunit ribosomal RNA", at positions 509 to 807 of the family's 1533-position model. The record is from RNAcentral.